Molecule: non-coding RNA, 74 nt
Organism: Podarcis lilfordi (Lilford's wall lizard)
Lineage: Eukaryota; Metazoa; Chordata; Lepidosauria; Squamata; Lacertidae
Source: the annotation of a GenBank genome assembly
GGAAGCUGUAGCUCAAGUGGUAGUGUGCAUGCUUUGCAUGCAAAAGGUCCCAGGUUUGAUCCCUGGUAUCUCCA